GUACACGCUGUGACUAGCAUAUCAAUAAGCGGAGGAAAAGAAACUAACAAGGAUUCCCUCAGUAACGGCGAGUGAAGCGGGAAGAGCUCAAAUUUGAAAUCUUGAAAGGUCACCUUUCACGAAUUGUAGUUUAAAGAAGUGUUUUCUGUUACGAUCGUAAUAUAAGUUCUUUGAAAUAGGACAUCACAGAGGGUGAGAAUCCCGUCUAUGAUUGCGAUUUGUAGCUUUGUGAUACACUUUCAAAGAGUCGGGUUGUUUGGGAAUGCAGCCCAAAACGGGAGGUAAAUUUCUUCUAAGGCUAAAUAUUGGCGAGAGACCGAUAGCGAACAAGUACCGUGAGGGAAAGAUGAAAAGAACUUUGAAAAGAGAGUUAAAUAGUACGUGAAAUUGUCAAAAGGGAAGCGUUUAACACCAGUGUUGUUUUCUGAAAAUCAACCUCUGUUAGCUUUAUGCAUGUUUGUUUAGACCUAAUCAGCUAUCUUUCAUGUUCUAUUGCUUGCAGUGGUGCACUUUUCAGUUUACAGGUCAACAUCAGUUUUUUUUACCGUAAAAAAGUUAAAGAAAGGUAGCUCAUGGCUCCGGUCGUGAGUGUUAUAGUCUUUUUCCUAUGCGGUAGGAGAGACUGAGGUCUGCAGUGUAGGCUAUUUGGCUAGAUACUCAGGUGCUAUGUGAUACCAUUUCAUAAACAACUUGUUGAUUAUGUUUUGUCUAUUGCAUACUCGCUUGUACUAUCAUACCUACGCUUAGGAUGUUGAGUAGCGACAUACGCA
RNAcentral lists this ribosomal RNA (770 nucleotides) under uncultured Neocallimastigales. RNAcentral's name for it is "partial large subunit ribosomal RNA". The stretch from base 4 to 661 matches the Rfam family "Eukaryotic large subunit ribosomal RNA", at positions 24 to 664 of the family's 3401-position model. Lineage: Eukaryota; Fungi; Neocallimastigomycota; Neocallimastigomycetes; Neocallimastigales. The record is from RNAcentral.